Long non-coding RNA from Bactrocera oleae (olive fruit fly), 2886 nucleotides. RefSeq lists it as uncharacterized. Lineage: Eukaryota; Metazoa; Arthropoda; Insecta; Diptera; Tephritidae. The record is from RefSeq and is a predicted model, not a curated record.
GCGCGAGGAGGCGCGGCUGGAGCAUUGAGUGCCCCGACGACUGACCUGCAAUUGGAAGCAGAUAUUUAUGUGUUAUAUUUGCGUUGUUUAAUUGUUAAAAGAAUUCAUAACUCACUUGUAAAUGAAAGAAAUUGAGCGCUGAUAGUUUGGAUUGCCAUCCACCAGGGCUCGAUGUCUGCGUCAUGCUGUCACCCGAAUUUGAGCGUUCCUUCUCCUUCUUCAUGCUGUAAAUAGGACAGAAAUCUCUUAAGUUCACAGGUAGUGAAUGUAAUAGAUGCUUAAAUCUUCGUCUGUUAAUGUCGCGAUAUUAAGGCGGCCGAUCGGCCUAACUACACAUAAUACCGUUCACUCAAAUUCUCAUCGCGGUCAAACUUCGGAAAUUGAGGACCGUGAGUACGGAUGUAUAAAACCGGUACAAGUUUCGUAGACUACUACUGGAGAAACACUCUGAAGAUAGAGACUGGUUACGGAAGAUGCCUACAGUAAUAUACCAUCUGAUCACAUUUGAGCCGGACACGGAUAACAUCGAAAAUAUAAAAGAAAUAGUGCUUGAAAAUCGUCGUGUUGGCAUUGGAGAGAUAGCAAAGGAACCCAACAUAUCUUUUGGAUCGACUCAACACAUUUCGGUUAAUGUUUUAGUUAUAAAGUGUGUCAAUGUUAGACUCGUACCAAAAUACCACAAUCUUUUGCAAAAACGGCGUCGAAUAGCUAAGGACCCUUUAUUCGUCAAACACAUCGCUACAGGUGACAAGACGUACUAGUAAGUUUAUGAAUAUGCUAUAUAAAGGUGCUGUUACAACCGUUUAAGUGGGAUCCCCGUGAUAUACGUUGCGGUGGUCAACACGGAUGCAUUUAACCUAACACUUAAUUAUUUAUCAAUUUGUGCCAUAUUUUGUCAAGCAAUAAACUCAAUUGGAAAAUUUAUUUUAAAUUUAGUUGCAUUUUGUACAAAACCUGCUACAUAGCUACAGAUAGACAGGUACCUAGCAGUUGCCUUUUGUAACAGUUUUGGUAUUUUUAAAAAUUAGAACUACGAAGGUGGUCAAAUAAAUGUUUCUCCUCGACAACACUAUCGUGUAGUAUAUUCUUGUAGACGGCUACUUUCAAAAUUUUAGCCAACUCGGAUAUAUUUUUUUCAAAAGAAAAUUCCGAGAUUUUGUUUUCAAGAGAGCGAUAUUGGUCGGUGGCUCAAUUCUUGUUUUGGAAACGAAAUGGCGUUGUGAGAUCAGUGAGUGCUUGGGUGCUCUAUACAGUGACACUUUUCCUUCGAUAUAACAAGCAUCGCGGCAACUUCACAGCAGUGUUUGUCGCUAUUUAAUCCCAAUUAUAAAGUACGACGAAACAUGGAUUCACUGGAAAACAUUAGAAACCAAGAAACAGUCCAAACAGUGAAUUUCACACGACCUAACCUGACCUAAAAAAGGCGAAAACUGUUCUAUCAGCCGGAAAGAUAGUGAUGAGGAUGGUCUCUGGUAUUCAACUAUUUGUAGAAAGCAAAUUAGUUAGACAGCACUAUUAUGCUGAACUAUUGCAAUAUCUAUAAUAUACAAUUAAUUAUAAAUAAAUUUAUGAAAUAUUGUAAAAAAAUAGUUUACUGUAAUAAAUACAUACAUACAUAUAUAUACUACAUAUAUCAAGCUAAAAAAUGCCAUUGCAAAAUGAAUUGAGAAUCAGCAAGCGACAAUGCAAGGAUGCAAUGAUGAUGAGAUUUUCACAAUGAUUUGUGCGCAAACUUAAAACGUUUAAAGGUAAAGUCCGUUCAUAUUGAACCAGGAAUACGUAGAAGGUGUUACAUACAAACACACUGAGGGGGUUGUGAGACUACAAAUAAAAAUUUAAUUCGGUUUAAAUUGGACCAUACGCCUCCAGGAUAAAUUUACAUACGCAGGACUUAAUCGAUGCAAUACAUUUACAGGGUGAGUCAGUUGGUACAAGCACAAUUUCUUUAAUUUACAUACAAACGACACUAAUAUUGAAAGAUAUAUGUGAAAUUUUCUACUACAAUUACAUUCGUUAGAUAUAAAAACAGUAGCUAGUUAGUUUUGGGGUCUUCCACUACGCUUACAGCACUCCCUAGAUGGGAGACUACAAACUGUAGAAUACACCGCAACAUGGCGUGACAAUGCAAGUAAUAGUAUCACUCGCGGAGAUUUAAGGAAGAAAGCAAGUGUUUAAAUAAUUUUAUCACCAAAUCAUACGAUCAUUCAGCUAUAUAGUCAGCUAAAGUUGUUUUGUGGGCGUGUAUGCUUGGAGCGAGCGCGACAUUGCCGAUAUAGCAAUAUCGUAAUUUACGAGUCUAUUUACAGUUAUGAAUGUGCCUAACCAUAUACUUUUGUAUGUAUGUAGGUACAUAUGUGUGUAUGAACGAAAUUGUAACACUUUUACCAAAAAAUUGAAGAAAACCACUUUGAAAGAUUAUAAGCAGUUUCGAUGCAAUCAUUAACGCUUCUUCACAAAAAUCAAAAAAAUUUAUAUAUACGAGUAUGUAAGUAUGUUUAUGACGUAAUCAGUUUAAUGCUUGUGGCAGAGUUAAGUAUUGGAAUAAUUAGAGCGAGAGAGACAGAGAGUGAGAAAGAGAGAGCACGCGAAAUUGAGACAAGUAUUUGAGUUAUGAGUAAGCAAAUUUUUAGCAGAAUUUCGACAUACCAAAUUUGAAUUAGACUAAACUGUAGCAGAGUUUCUGAAGUAUUUCUUAAAAUAUGUUUACAGAGCGAGUUCACAGGGAACGAGACAGUUAAAAUUCGAGUAAGCGAAAUGUAUGCAUUUCUAGGUAAUGUAGUUAAUGAGGUGUUACUGUACUUUAGCAAUACUAUGGCAAAUAGCGGCAGCUUUUCUGAACUAAAAGUUGUGAAUGCAAAAGCGUAUUGAAAAAAAUAUAUAAAAUUU